AUUGAACGCUGGCGGCGUGCUUAACACAUGCAAGUCGAUCGGUAACAGGUGUAGCAAUACAUGCUGACGAGAGGCGGACGGGUGAGUAAUGCUUGGGAAUCUGCCUAUUAGUGGGGGACAACCCGGGGAAACUCGGGCUAAUACCGCAUACGCUCUACGGAGGAAAGCCGGGGACCGCAAGGCCUGGCGCUAAUAGAUGAGCCCAAGUCGGAUUAGCUAGUUGGUAGGGAACGGCCUACCAAGGCGACAAUCCGUAGCUGGUCUGAGAGGACGACCAGCCACACCGGAACUGAGACACGGUCCGGACUCCUACGGGAGGCAGCAGUGGGGAAUAUUGGACAAUGGGGGCAACCCUGAUCCAGCGACGCCGCGUGGGUGAAGAAGGCCUGCGGGUUGUAAAGCCCUUUCGGGUAGGGGAAGAAAAGUCUCGACCUAAUACGUCGGGACCUUGACGUAACCCACUAAAGAAGCACCGGCUAACUCUGUGCCA
This 490-nucleotide ribosomal RNA is filed under the name uncultured bacterium. RNAcentral's name for it is "bacterial SSU rRNA". It matches the Rfam family "Bacterial small subunit ribosomal RNA", at positions 29 to 510 of the family's 1533-position model. The record is from RNAcentral.